GAUGAACGCUGGCGGCGUGCCUAAUACAUGCCAGUCGAGCGAACGGACGAGAAGCUUGCGUCUCUGAUGUUAGCGGCGGACGGGUGGGUAACACGUGGAUAACCUACCUAUAAGACUGGGAUAACUUCGGGAAACCGGAGCUAAUACCGGAUAAUAUUUUGAACCGCAUGGUUCAAAAGUGAAAGACGGUCUUGCGGUCACUUAUAGAUGGAUCCGCGCUGCAUUAGCUAGUUGGGAAGGUAACGGCUUACCAAGGCAACGAUGCAUAGCCGACCUGAGAGGGUGAUCGGCCACACUGGAGCUGGGACGCGGUCCAUGCUCCUGAGGGAGGCAGCAGUCGGGUACCUUCCGCAGUGGGCGGGAGCCUGACGGAGCAACGGGGCGUGAGUGGUGACGAUCUUCGGAGCGUGAAACUCUGUUACUAGGGGAGAACAUAUUUCUAAGUAACUGUACACAUCUUGACGGUACCUAAUCAGAAAGCCACGGCUAACUACGUG
Molecule: ribosomal RNA, 497 nt
Filed under: uncultured bacterium
Lineage: Bacteria
Description: partial 16S ribosomal RNA
Rfam family: Bacterial small subunit ribosomal RNA
Source: RNAcentral